GCCCUUUCGGUAUCUUCCUCUGCUUGCUUGC
This 31-nucleotide non-coding RNA is filed under the name Mus musculus (house mouse). Lineage: Eukaryota; Metazoa; Chordata; Mammalia; Rodentia; Muridae. The record is from RNAcentral.